RNAcentral lists this ribosomal RNA (2893 nucleotides) under Acinetobacter baumannii. RNAcentral's name for it is "23S ribosomal RNA". It matches the Rfam family "Bacterial large subunit ribosomal RNA". Lineage: Bacteria; Pseudomonadati; Pseudomonadota; Gammaproteobacteria; Moraxellales; Moraxellaceae. The record is from RNAcentral.
AGUCAAGUAAUUAAGUGCAUGUGGUGGAUGCCUUGGCAGUCAGAGGCGAUGAAAGACGUGAUAGCCUGCGAAAAGCUCCGGGGAGGCGGCAAAUAUCCUUUGAUCCGGAGAUGUCUGAAUGGGGGAACCCACCUACUUUAAGGUAGGUAUUGCAACAUGAAUACAUAGUGUUGCAAGGCGAACGAGGGGAAGUGAAACAUCUCAGUACCCUUAGGAAAAGAAAUCAAUUGAGAUUCCCUCAGUAGCGGCGAGCGAACGGGGAUCAGCCCAUUAAGUUAUGUGUGUUUUAGUGGAACGCUCUGGGAAGUGCGAACGUAGAGGGUGAUAUUCCCGUACACGAAAGGGCACACAUAAUGAUGACGAGUAGGGCGAGGCACGUGAAACCUUGUCUGAAUAUGGGGGGACCAUCCUCCAAGGCUAAAUACUCCUGACUGACCGAUAGUGAACCAGUACCGUGAGGGAAAGGCGAAAAGAACCCCUGUGAGGGGAGUGAAAUAGAUCCUGAAACCGCAUGCAUACAAGCAGUGGGAGCACCUUCGUGGUGUGACUGCGUACCUUUUGUAUAAUGGGUCAGCGACUUAUAUUCAGUAGCAAGGUUAACCGUAUAGGGGAGCCGUAGAGAAAUCGAGUCUUAAUAGGGCGUUUAGUUGCUGGGUAUAGACCCGAAACCAGGCGAUCUAUCCAUGAGCAGGUUGAAGGUUGGGUAACACUAACUGGAGGACCGAACCCACUGUCGUUGAAAAGCCAGGGGAUGACUUGUGGAUAGGGGUGAAAGGCUAAUCAAGCCUGGUGAUAGCUGGUUCUCCCCGAAAGCUAUUUAGGUAGCGCCUCGGACGAAUACCAUAGGGGGUAGAGCACUGUUUCGGCUAGGGGGUCAUCCCGACUUACCAAACCGAUGCAAACUCCGAAUACCUAUGAGUACUAUCCGGGAGACAGACUGCGGGUGCUAACGUCCGUAGUCAAGAGGAAAACAAUCCAGACCGCCAGCUAAGGCCCCAAAAUCAUAGUUAAGUGGGAAACGAUGUGGGAAGGCAUAGACAGCUAGGAGGUUGGCUUAGAAGCAGCCACCCUUUAAAGAAAGCGUAAUAGCUCACUAGUCGAGUCGGCCUGCGCGGAAGAUGUAACGGGGCUAAAACUAUGUGCCGAAGCUGCGGAUGUAUACUUUGUAUACGUGGUAGGGGAGCGUUCUGUAAGCCGAUGAAGGUGUGUUGAGAAGCAUGCUGGAGGUAUCAGAAGUGCGAAUGCUGACGUGAGUAACGACAAAACGGGUGAAAAACCCGUUCGCCGAAAGACCAAGGGUUCCAGUCCAACGUUAAUCGGGGCUGGGUGAGUCGACCCCUAAGGCGAGGCCGAAAGGCGUAGUCGAUGGGAAAAUGGUUAAUAUUCCAUUACUUCUGUGUAAUGCGAUGAGAGGACGGAGAAGGCUAAAUCAGCCUGGCGUUGGUUGUCCAGGUGAAAGGAUGUAGGCAUGUAUCUUAGGCAAAUCCGGGGUACUCUAUGCUGAGAUCUGAUAGCAAGCUGUACUUGUACAGCGAAGUGGUUGAUGCCAUGCUUCCAGGAAAAGUCUCUAAGCUUCAGUUACACAGGAAUCGUACCCGAAACCGACACAGGUGGUCAGGUCGAGUAGACCAAGGCGCUUGAGAGAACUCUGCUGAAGGAACUAGGCAAAAUGGUACCGUAACUUCGGGAGAAGGUACGCUGUUGUUGGUGAUGGAACUCGCUUCCUGAGCUGACGACAGCCGCAGAAACCAGGCCGCUGCAACUGUUUAUUAAAAACAUAGCACUCUGCAAACACGAAAGUGGACGUAUAGGGUGUGAUGCCUGCCCGGUGCUGGAAGGUUAAUUGAUGGGGUUAGCGUAAGCGAAGCUCUUGAUCGAAGCCCCAGUAAACGGCGGCCGUAACUAUAACGGUCCUAAGGUAGCGAAAUUCCUUGUCGGGUAAGUUCCGACCUGCACGAAUGGCAUAAUGAUGGCGGCGCUGUCUCCAGCAGAGGCUCAGUGAAAUCGAAAUCGCUGUGAAGAUGCAGUGUACCCGCGGCUAGACGGUAAGACCCCGUGAACCUUUACUGCAGCUUGACACUGAACUUUGACCUUACUUGUGUAGGAUAGGUGGGAGGCUUUGAAGCUGGAACGCUAGUUCCAGUGGAGCCGUCCUUGAAAUACCACCCUGGUAAUGUUGAGGUUCUAACUCUGUCCCGUGAUCCGGGACGAGGACCGUGUCUGGUGGGUAGUUUGACUGGGGCGGUCUCCUCCUAAAGAGUAACGGAGGAGUACGAAGGUGCGCUCAGCGUGGUCGGAAAUCACGCGUAGAGUAUAAAGGCAAAAGCGCGCUUAACUGCGAGACCCACAAGUCGAGCAGGUACGAAAGUAGGUCUUAGUGAUCCGGUGGUUCUGUAUGGAAGGGCCAUCGCUCAACGGAUAAAAGGUACUCUGGGGAUAACAGGCUGAUACCGCCCAAGAGUUCAUAUCGACGGCGGUGUUUGGCACCUCGAUGUCGGCUCAUCUCAUCCUGGGGCUGAAGCAGGUCCCAAGGGUAUGGCUGUUCGCCAUUUAAAGAGGUACGCGAGCUGGGUUUAGAACGUCGUGAGACAGUUCGGUCCCUAUCUACCGUGGGCGCUGGAAAUUUGAGAGGAUCUGCUCCUAGUACGAGAGGACCAGAGUGGACGAACCUCUGGUGUACCGGUUGUGACGCCAGUCGCAUCGCCGGGUAGCUAUGUUCGGAAGGGAUAACCGCUGAAAGCAUCUAAGCGGGAAGCCUACCUCAAGAUAAGAUUUCCCUAGGACUUUAUGUCCUCUAAAGAGCCGUUCGAGACUAGGACGUUGAUAGGUUGGAUGUGGAAGCAUAGUGAUAUGUGAAGCUGACCAAUACUAAUUGCUCGUGAGGCUUGACUAU